RNAcentral lists this ribosomal RNA (916 nucleotides) under uncultured bacterium. Its description in RNAcentral is "bacterial SSU rRNA". It matches the Rfam family "Archaeal small subunit ribosomal RNA", at positions 1 to 923 of the family's 1478-position model. The record is from RNAcentral.
UUCCGGUUGAUCCCGCCAGAGGUUACUGCUAUCGAGGUUCGACUAAGCCAUGCGAGUCGAAUGUAGCAAUACAUGGCGAACUGCUCAGUAACACGUGGACAACCUGCCCUUAGGUCUGGCAUAACCCCGGGAAACUGGGGAUAAUUCCGGAUAGAUCAUCGAUGCUGGAAUGCGCUUUGAUCCAAAGCUAUUGUGCCUAAGGAUGGGUCUGCGGUCUAUCAGGUUGUAGUGGGUGUAAUGUACCUACUAGCCUACGACGGAUACGGGUUGUGGGAGCAAGAGCCCGGAGAUGGAUUCUGAGACAUGAAUCCAGGCCCUACGGGGCGCAGCAGGCGCGAAAACUUUACAAUGCGGGGAACCGCGAUAAGGGGACACCGAGUGCCAGCAUCCUAUGUUGGCUGUCCAUAUGUCUAAAUCACAUGUGUUAGCAAGGGCCGGGCAAGACCGGUGCCAGCCGCCGCGGUAACACCGGCGGCCCGAGUGGUGGCCACUAUUAUUGGGUCUAAAGGGUCCGUAGCCGGUUUGGUCAGUCUUCCGGGAAAUCUGACGGCUCAACCGUUAGGCUUUCGGGGGAUACUACCAGGCUUGGGACCGGGAGAGGUAAGAGGUACUACGGGGGUAGGAGUGAAAUCUUGUAAUCCCUGUGGGACCACCAGUGGCGAAGGCGUCUUACCAGAACGGGUCCGACGGUGAGGGACGAAAGCUGGGGGCACGAACCGGAUUAGAUACCCGGGUAGUCCCAGCUGUAAACUAUGCUCGCUAGGUGUCAGGGACGGUGCGACUGUUUCUGGUGCCGCAGGGAAGCCGUGAAGCGAGCCACCUGGGAAGUACGGUCGCAAGGCUGAAACUUAAAGGAAUUGGCGGGGGAGCACUACAACGGGUGGAGCCUGCGGUUUAAUUGGACUCAACGCCGGGA